UAUUAUUUUUAAUGCAUGCUCCAAAAAAUACCCACUAUUUUGCCUGCCCCGUAACCCCGUUUACCCAGUAACCCGCUAACCCAGUAACCCAUUUCAGUUGCUAUCUUUGCGAUGUUUUGAUCGUGCAUUCAAAUUUUGAAUUAAGAGUCUGUCAAAACAAUCUUCAACCUUAUGGCUCAUAUCUACGAUCUUCUGCCGAUUACAAAAUUUUUUAAGAGAGCUCGCAUAGCGCGGGCAUAAUUGCAGAUCUUGCAAAACCAUCUUCAAGCUUUAUGGAUCAUCUCGGAAUCUUCUACCACUGAUGUAUACAGCAGUCUCCAGUCGCCUUCAAAUCAAUCAUGUGUAUAUCGGGUAUCGCAGCAUAAGUCUGCUAGCCUCGACACUGGGAUGGGUUCGGCUGCAUACACCGUUGAGGACGCGUUUGCAAGCAAUAAACAAUCAAGGCCUAUGUUUGGAUCGAAUGAAAAUCUGGAUCCUAAUAUACACAAGUCAGAAUCCCUUCCCUGUGUUGAUUUUUUCUACGUUCAACACCUUGGUUAAAGCUGGAGAUAACUAAUUACACCUUCGAGGGAAAUCAAUAAAUCAAUCGCAAUGCUUUUGUUUUCUGGCCAGGUGUUGAUUUUUUCUAUGUUUUUAAUAGAGUCUGGUGCAUGCAUUGGAGUUUUGUUUCUUCCUAUUCAGCUUGAUGUAAUAUCAGUGGAGUUCUUUCUAGGGUUGUUAAUUGCAUGUGCUGUAGGGUUUGGAUGUCAUGUGUGGAUAGCUGGUGGUAUUUUUUAGUGCAGUUGUGGAUUAGUGUCAUGGAUUUAUGCUGUAGUGUGGGGUUAGUUAUUUCCACAGAUUUGGUUUGGUGUUGCUUCUGCUGGGAUUAGAAGCAUCGGAAGGAUAUUGGUUCCUUUGCUAGACGGGUUUUGAACCAGGUUUACAUCCAUUUGGCUCCUGGGUUACUGAAUCUGAACUGCACGUAUAAGCAUCAAUUCACGGAUUUUUUGUACAGACGCUGCAGGUGGAGAUCAAUCUAAACUACAAUCCACUCACCCACGAUUUCUAUUGAUUUCAUUACCAAGAAAUUUGAGAAAGAAAUCAGAUCAAGUUUAUAAGGGCAUUAGCUUUAGCAUGGGAUAAACGUCUUAGUUGACGAAAUUGGUUUCUCGCCUGAUGAUUUGCAGAAUCUAAUACAUUCACUAUCCUAUGUGUAAGUUUUUAGAGCUCUUUUUUCCCCUUUCUAAUAUAUGAAUCAUGUGUUCUUUUUCCACCAGGAUACAUAAAAAAGAUCCCCCGUAUGACUUGAUUUUUUGAGGAAGUGAAUUACAAAUCCAGCUAUGAAGAGUCGGAAACAUGGACCAAAAAUCGAAAAGUUGUAUGGUCGCACUCCUUUCACUCCCAUUGAUGUAAAUAACAUGACUCAGCUGUGCUGAAAAUCACUACCAGGCGCAUCUAAUUGCAACAUGUCAGCAAAAUCUAAUAUCACAUUCCAACUCCCUCCCACGCAAGUUCACAAAAGGAAUAACAGUCAAGCAAAUGAUCUACGUUCAGAGAUGUGCAAUAUAAUGGAAGACUUUCAUAAUGCAGAUAAUGUUGUGUGGAAUUUGUGGUGCACAAAUGUGGAAUGAAGAGUGUAAUAAUAAGACGUCCAAAAGCCAAGCACCUUGCAAGAACAGAAAUGUUAAGCUUCCAAAAGAACCUCAGCCACCUGAACCACUAGCGUCUUUGUUGACGGGUGGUUUUAAGUCCAAGCAUUGGGUGGUACAUCCGAUGUUAUAGAUCCUGACAUUGUACAAUCUCUGUUGGCUAUGUUGGACCAAAAUAAUAAAUUGGUUGAAUCAUUUCGUAUGCAAGAGAUUGUUUCCAGAGUAAUGAACUUGAUGAGUUUAAGUUGGUUUUGAUAUCUUCUCAGCCGUCGAGUGGUCGAAAAAACCAUGUUACUCAAUCGGAUGAAGUAGCUGCUUUUAUUGUUUCUGAUGAUGCUGAUACUAUUGGCAUUAGAGAUCUAUGUUACCCGGACUCUCCAUUUUUGUGCCUAUACCCGUGUCCACCGGACAUGACAUGGGUGUGCGUAUGGGAUCUGUGUCGGAUCCUUCUUAUUACAACCGGACACCUCACCUUGUAACAUCCCAUGUCAAAAUGAAAACUUAGGUCUUGUUUCAACUGGUUUAUAGAGAUCAAGAUCCUUGAAUGACUUGUUUCUAUGUUGUUCUAUUAAUUUUAUGCUUCAAUUUUCAGCAUAUGUGAUUUAUGUGCAAUAGACACUAUUUUUAUGAAUGUACCAUAAAUCAGGCUAUAUUAAGUUUGACUUGCGUGGAGCUUAAGUGCCAAGUCCCCGUACCCGAGUCUAAUUCCGAAUCCACAUCCACGAAUCCUAAUUAUCCUAAAACUACGAAUCUGACUCUUGGAUCCGUACCCGUGUCCGAUACCCAUACCCGUGUCCGGGUAACUUAGUUAGAGAUACGAUUUUUCACUCCAAAAUAAAUGGUCUGGAAAGGAUAUAUGAAAUUGAUCCUUAUUUCAUGAGGUUGCAAUACCCUUUGUUAUUUCCCUUUGGGAAUGAAGGAUUUCACCUGCAUAAUCCUCUUCAGAAUCUGAAGAAACCAAAGAAGGGAGCUGAACAUGAUGAUGUUGAUGCUUGCGAGCCUAACCACGGGGAGACAAUCUCUCAUAAAGAGUACUAUUCCUACAAGAUCAUGAUUCUUGCCUCAGAAGGUAAAUAACAAAAAAUAAAUCUAAACAGUUCAAUAUAAAUUAAUUUUUAUAUAUCUGCAGAGGCCUCCAAAAUAAUUUCUUCACCGACUAAAGUUGAAUGCUUGAAUGGAGUUCAUAUUAAAAUGGUAGCAUUGGGCUGUGAUCACUUAGUUGUUGUUACAGGUUUGCUAUCCUUUUUCAUCUAUUUGCCCUACUAUUAUAUACUAGCACAUUUAACCCAUGUUCAGCAUGGGCAGAGUAUGGCUUUAUCUAAAUGCUGUAUGCACUAAUCUGAAGCUAUGUUACCCGGACUCUCCAUUUUUGUGUCUAUACCCGUGUCCACCGGACAUGACAUGGGUGUGGGUACGAGAUCUGUGUCGGAUCCUUCUUAUUACAACCGGACACCUCACCUUGUAACAUCCCAGGUCAAAAUGAAAACUUAGGUGUUAUUUCAACUUGUUUAUAGAGAUCAAGAUCCAUAAAUGACUUGUUUCUAUGUUGUUCUUGUUGAUUUUAUGCUUCAAUUUUCAGCAUAUGUGAUUUGUGUGCAGUAGACACUAUUUUUAUGAAUGUACAAUAAAUGUCUAUAUAAAGUUUUACUUGCGUGGAGCUUAAGUGCCAAGUCCCCGUACCCGAGUCUAAUUCCGGAUCCAUGUCCACGGAUCCUAAUUAUCCUAAAACUACGAAUCUGACUCUUGGAUCUGUACCCGUAUCCGAUACCCAUACCCGUGUCCGGGUAACUUAGAUCUGAAGUUUGUAUUAUUAUUUUUACCUGCAUCAUAGGUGUAAAACAUUUUUCUAUAAUGUGAGAACAAAAGAGACAGUUUCUAUUAGUCUAGCAGAUUAAAAUUUGUGCAACUUGCAGUUUGUCACCUCUUAAUUAAAAUCCCCCCCCUCCCCACAACACACACACACACACACACACAAAAACACUUCUGACCAGAUAACUCAGAAACUGUACACAUUGAGCACUGUCUUCUGAAGUGCAAAAAGCAAAUGGAAAUAAUUUUAAACAAACAUGUAGCUAAGGUAAUCACAUAAUUACUCACCUUCUUGAUUAUAAUCAUCAAUCAUUACGUAGUAGGAGAUAUUAUUCUUUCAGUUCUUAUUAAGCUUUUCAGAGGUCAGUCAAUCUCUAUUCAGUACAUAGCUUUUUCAUUAUUGUUCGUGGCGUAUUCUAGGAGUUUCACAUCAGAAGCUAUUGCUGUAUCAGCAUCCCUGCUGAGUAGGUGACCAUCGAUGAGUUAACACCUGCUCAUAUUUUGAAGUAAUUAAUUAUUGAAAAAUAUGUUCUAAAUUCGUUGAGAGUGCAAUUUAGUCAAUUGAAUAUUUAGUGGAUUUCUAUCGAACUGAACAACCUGGCAUUAUUGCAAUCUUGGGAGGAUAAGGUUCCUGGUGUCCUGCUUUCUGCAUUGGGGUUGUGUAAUAAAAUCCAGUAAGUUAGUUUGAUGCAGUUCUCUCGAAUAUUUUUUAGGGAACAAACAUGGCACACACACGCCUGUUUAAAAGCUUUGAAUCACUUUGUCAGGUAAGUUUAAGCAAAUAAUAUGCCAGACAGGUGCUUUCUUCAUUAUUUUAUACAUGGUUAACUACGACGGACUGAACUCUCAGAGCUUUGUAUUUUUUGCUAAUAAUACUGGCUUGCUCCGUAAAUACAAGUUUCUUUGACUAAUCCCACCAAGUUGAUCAUCUGUAAGAUGCAUAUAGAUUAUAUUAUAAAAUUGGUAACUAAUAAGUAUCAGAUAUUGAAGGUCGUGAUUACUGCGAUCCCGAGAUUGUCAAGUGUCUACUUGCUAUUUGAAGAUACACAGAUUCGUACCAUAUCUUCUUAGUCGUCGAGUGGUCGAAAAAAUCAUGUUACUCAAUUGUAGGAAGUAGCUGCUUUUAUUGUUUAUGAUGAUGCUGAUACUACUGGCAUAAGAGAUACAAUUAUUCAAUCCAAAAUAAACGGUAUGCAAAGGAUAUUUGAAACUGAUCCUUAUUUCAUGCAGUUGCAAUACCCUUUGUUAUUUCCCCUUGGGAAUGAAGGAUUCCAUCUGCAUAUUCCUCUUCAGAGUCCGAAGAAACCAAAGAAGGGAGCUGAGCAUGAUGAUGUUGAUGCUUGCGAGCCUAAACACAGGGAGACAGUCUCUCAUAAAGAGUACUAUUCCUACAAGAUUAUGAUUCGUGCCUCGGAAGUCUUACCCUUCACCUUGCUGCACGUUUGGGUGGAUGCUUUCACCGCAAUGGAGCAGUAUAGAUUGGAUUGGGUAUCUAGGCAUCUAAAUACUAUACGUGCUGAUCUUUACCAUGGUUGCCUUGCGGAAGGGUGAUAAUGAUCCAACUGAUGUUGGCAAAGCUGUAAUUCUUCCUGCAUCAUUUACUGGAUCUCAACGUUAUAUGCAACAAUAUUACAAUACUUUAAGGAUUCACUUGCAAUAUGUCAGUGCAAUAGGUCAUACCAUGACAUGUAACACCAAAUGGCCAAAGAUCAACAGGAUGCUGAGUAUGUUACAUAUUUCUCAUGUGUUCUUAAUUUGACAAGAACUCGAUAUAAUUAUUUCCAAUAUAUCUUUAUGUGAUAUGAUUUGUUGUGUUUA
RNA transcript from Daucus carota subsp. sativus, 5255 nucleotides. RefSeq lists it as uncharacterized. NCBI's taxonomy places the organism in Eukaryota, Viridiplantae, Streptophyta, Magnoliopsida, Apiales, Apiaceae. The transcript is spliced from 10 exons. The record is from RefSeq and is a predicted model, not a curated record.